Long non-coding RNA from Suricata suricatta (meerkat), 293 nucleotides. RefSeq lists it as uncharacterized. The transcript is spliced from 2 exons. The record is from RefSeq and is a predicted model, not a curated record. Lineage: Eukaryota; Metazoa; Chordata; Mammalia; Carnivora; Herpestidae.
AAGAAGCGACUGUCCCAUGCUUCCUACUCUUUCCUUUUGUGAUUGGCAGUGCCUAUUAUGGAUAUCUUGCCUGGUCUCCUCAUUGAAUUUGGGUAAUUAUCCUGAUGCAUGAAAACUGUGUGAGACAAAGAGGCCUAGACCAUGCCACGUUCCCCAUUGUCUUGGCAUCAUCAGCACACCUAGAGGCAGAGCAUGGUAUUGCAGAGAAGAAAUGGGAACCUUCAAGGCUUUUUGGAAAAGUGUCAUAUUGAAACUAUGAAUCCAAUUAUGUAAUAAAUCCUGAUUUAUACUUA